Corvus hawaiiensis (hawaiian crow) is the source of this 2180-nucleotide long non-coding RNA. RefSeq lists it as uncharacterized. The record is from RefSeq and is a predicted model, not a curated record. Lineage: Eukaryota; Metazoa; Chordata; Aves; Passeriformes; Corvidae. The transcript is spliced from 5 exons.
AUCCUUUCUUAUUUCAUCUCCAUGCUCGGAGGCGGGGGGUGCGGGGGGGGACCCCGCUCCCGUCCCCAUCACAGGCACCUACCUUCAUCUCCUCGUUGAUCUCCCGCUUCACCGGCUGUAAAUCACUGGCACUUCAUAGCAUGAAAAGUUGAGCACAACUUUGUUCGUUUUGCUGCUAAAAUGAGCCUUGCCUGCCUGCCUGUCAGAGCGAUUAGAGACACAGGGCACAUUUUCCCCCGUGACUUUGAGAAUAAGAAGAAAUGGGGAUUUUGCACAGUCUCAGCUGUUAGAGCAUCUACCAUCUAAAGGUAAGAUAGCAACCAGAUUGAUCCUGUAAAAUCCUAGAGCACAUCCGCAGUGGUAAGGUCACGGCCGCUGCGAUGCGAAGGUGCUGCCACUCCCCUCGCUGCCUGAAAGAAUCAGGCAGAUGUUGGAAAAAACCCAGCCCUGAUCGUUUGUUUUUCGCAGAGCAGCAGGACCUCGGAGAGACCCUAGAGAAGGCUCUGCUGACAGCAAAGAGUUGCAGGAGUUCAGCUGCAGCAGGGCUCGUGCUGUGGGCUCAGUCCAUUCCGCGCACCCCAGGGAACACAAGGUCUGGGCUCAAACCCACCAAGCAGCAAGCACGAGAAGAAACCAAGGACCCUCCCAAAUCACAUCAUCUUCUCUCAUUUUAAGAGAUACUGAGAUGGAACUCACUGGAAAAAAAAUCGAUAGAAAAUCUAGAAAUCCAUGGGGUAGGGAAUUUAGUAGAGGGUACAUGGAUUACUCGGCUCCAAAACAUUGCUGAUCUGAGUCCCUGUCCAAAUUCCCCUGAGUGGAGCACUGCCCAUCAGAGGAGAUGGCCUGAGAGGCUCUUACAAUUGAAACUGGGUAGGGAGGUGAACAAACAGUGGCUCUAAGAAGGGGUGCUGACUGAUGAGCCAGCGAGGAGGGAGUUAUGUUCUAAGGGCAUGUGGCACAGGAGGGGUUUGUCCCACUGCCUGUGUGGCGCUGCUGAGACCCAGCAGGAGCUUUGGAUUCUCAUCUGUGCCAUGCACCGAUGAACUAUUGUAUCCCUGAUGAGCUACUGUGUCCCUGAGUCUGGUGUGCAGAGUGAAAAGAGUAACAUACACCUUCUCUGUCAAAGGACCCCCAUGUAUCACAGAUAUAUUUAUUUGUUUUGGAAAAAAACGUAUGCAUCCGUUAUCAUUUAUUAACCAGCAACACAUCAAAUUCUGAUAUUGGUAUCUCAAUAGGUAUAAUUAGGCUUAAAAAAUAAUACCUUUAAGUGUCAAAUUCUGUCCAAGGGACGUGUCUCCUACUGAAACCAACUGAUGCUAAAUGAUGGUGUUCUUUCAGUGUCUAACUAUAGGAUCAAUACAGCCUUCGCCCUUGUCAGUAGUUCUGUCAGCUGCUAGGAAGACAGGCAGCCUCGUAGACAAGACACAGACAACGAGGUCAAGAGAAGUGGAUUCUAUUCUCAGUUUGCCUUAGGGCUUUUGCAAAGCCUUGGACAAAUCACACAACCUCUCCAUUAAACCUCCUGACUUCCAAAAUGGAAAUGAUCAUAACUGUCUGCUUUCCCAGGAUGCCAUGGAGUAAAUCAAUUCUUGGGAGGAGGGAAAGGGGGGAAUAGGGGUGUGUGGGAACAACAACUGCAUUGGUGCUUUGGAAGGAACAGACAUAUUUCUGUUUACUUUUAUUUUUGUAAACAGUCUUAAGAGUGCAACUGGGAUUUAACAUAUUAAAAAAUUAAGCAACACUUAGAAGAUUUGGUUAUGCAGACAGGUUAUAGUUACUACAAUAUAUUAACAUUGCUAGUCUCAUUCUCCUACAGACACAAUUUAUUUUGGAUAAGGCCAGGGCAACUAUGAAAAUUUGAAAGUUCAAAUGUUCCCAAUCAAAUGAGAGUGCUUCGCAAUUGUUUUACUUUAGAUGGCAAUCAGGAAAAUAUUUCCACAUUUCAUGUACUAGAAAAGAUAUCCAGAGUUGGCAUUAGUAGUGGCUUUGAUGUAUUCUCUGGUACAUUGGUCCAGAGCAUGCUGAUAUAAACAGAAGUGUCUCUUGACCUGUCAUCUUUGUUCUUCAACUUUGAUAUUGGCCCCCUCCAGUGGCUUCUUUCUCCUCCUGGGGAGGCUUAAAAAGUCAAUUGAUACAGAAAAAAAAAAAAAAAGUUUCAGUUUUCUUCUCUGCUUAAGACU